Molecule: unclassified non-coding RNA, 148 nt
Organism: Pongo abelii (Sumatran orangutan)
Lineage: Eukaryota; Metazoa; Chordata; Mammalia; Primates; Hominidae
Rfam family: Metazoan signal recognition particle RNA
About the family: The signal recognition particle (SRP) is a universally conserved ribonucleoprotein. It is involved in the co-translational targeting of proteins to membranes.
Source: Ensembl
GCCGGGUGUUGUGGCAGGCACCUGUAAUCCCAGCUACUUGGGAGGCUGAGGCAGGAGAAUCACUUGAACCCAGGAGGCAGAGGUUGCAGUGAGCUGAGAUCGCACCACUGCACUCCAGCCUGGGUGACAGAGUGAGACUCUGUCUCAA